CAGUCAUGUACUCCCUGCUUGUUCAAUCGAUCAUGACCCUCUCACACAGACCUCCUUAGAGUUGUGAACCCUUAAAAGGGACAGGAAUUGCUCACUCGGUGUGCUUGGUUUUGGAGAUGUGAGUCUGCCUAUACUCCCAGCUGAAUAAAGACUUUUCCUUCUACAACUUGAUGUCUGAGGGGUUCUUGUCUGUGGCUCAUCCUGCCACAUUUAUGUGAUAACAUUGCUGUUUCAGUAGGUUCCAGUCUCAAGUUUGAAAACAGUAUAUAAUUUCUUCUAGAUAUUAUAUUUACCCACAUUUAAUCCUCAACAUCAUAAACUUGAAAUCUCACCUGCUGAAUGACUAUUCUUCUAUAGCCCAAAUUCGUGUGUUUUUGUCAUGUGAUAAAUUGCCGUUCGAUGAACAUUGACUCUGGUGCUGUGGUCGCCAUGCAGGUCUCGGUAUGAGGGUUCACUGGGAAGGCAGCCUGCUCUCAUGGAGAUGGCAUCUCAGAGAUAAUGGCAGAGGGAGAUAAUCACAUCACUAACCUGCUGGCUACAGAGACUGCAAGUCUGGAACAACAGCUGCAAGGAUGGGGAGAAGUGAUGCUGAUGCUGAUAAAGUCCUCCCAUGGGAAACAGCCUGGUUUCCACCUGCCAUCAUGGGUGUGGUUUCUUUGAUGUUUCUGAUUAUCUACUAUCUAGAUCCAUUUGGCUGAUUACAUUGUUCCCAUUCUGGUGCCUAGAAUUUUUGGCUCCAAUAAAUGGACCACUGAACAACAGCAAAGAUUUCAUGAAAUUUGCAGCAAUCUAGUUAAAAACUCUCUGCAGAGCUAUGGGUUGGUGGAAAUGCCUCUUCACACUAAAGGAAGAUAAACCUAAGAUGUACUUCAUGACCAUGAUCAUUUCCCUAACUGAGAUUGCUUAGGUGGGACAGCAAGUUCACAACUUGCUUCUCACCUACCUGAUAGUGACUUCUUUACUAUUGCUUCCUGGACUAAACCAACAUGGAAUCAUUUCUAAGUACACUGGAAUGGCCAAAAGGGAGCUAACCCAACUUCUCAAACAAAAAGAAUAGAAAAAUGAAUAAUUCAUCUGCUUUAUUCAGUGUGAUUAAUGGAGCACCCAUUGCCCCUGGGAAUGGUUUCUGCUGUACUAUCUGGAUACUAAAAUGUUACAGAAGUAGCUCUUUGCUCUCCCUCACUCUGCCCGUAGUUAAUAGAAAUGCAGGCUCGCCAAGUUAUGCUUUGUGCAUAGUGUCUUCAUGUCAUGUAUACUUGAGUACGUUCUUACCAGUUGGCCUCAUGGACAACUCAUUAGUAUGUAUGACUUGUUUUGAUUUUUCUUACCCAGGGUUAAUUGAAUUCUUGCUUUUAGACAACUUCCUUUUUUAUAGUGGUGAACCUUGCCCUUUAGUACGAUUCAAGUGACUCUGGAUAAUUGUUCAAGUUCGUCUUUGCUCUUGCUGGAUACAAGGUAGUGGUCUGUGGCUACAGGAAGCUGGUUCUACUGUCUGCUUCCACAGUCUGCUUAAAAAACUCUCUGACUUUGUGAAUAUAGAGACCAAGUUUACCACUUGCGAUGAAGAGACCAAUUAAGAUUCAUUCCUCAUUCUGUUUCUUUCCCAUGGGAGAAGAAUCCCCAUGUAAUAAAAUGAAACUGAUUCCAUGCACUAGUAUGUGUAGGUUUCUCGCUUGUGCAAAGCUUAGCAAUUUGUAGGAAACUUUGAUCUUUUUGUCCAAAAAAAAGGAAUGUCCGACAGGCUUAAGCUUUUGUCCCUUUGCACUUAGACUUGAAGUUAGUAAAUCCUUAAAGGCCUUUCAAUAGCAGACUUCCAAAAGAUUGGAUUUAGGAUUUCUAGCAUAUUUUUAAUUUCAGAUUUUCAACUGAUUUUAGCUAUAGUAUACAGUAGGUUAAAAUUCAUGUCUAUGACUUUAGGACCAGCAGUAAAGGAUACCAGUCUUCUGUGUUUAGGCAAGAUUCAUUUCAGUAGAAGAUAAUCUUAUCUGACUAAUUUUUGAGACCAGAAUAAGCCUUUUAAGAAUAAGCCUUUUAAGGUAAACCUCACAAUUCUCGUUUUAUGGUAAUACUGGUCAUUUCAGUCCCCUGGGUUUGGCAUGGGAGAUAGUGACUACACUGGUGUCUGACUUUUUCCUAGAGAUUUCUCCCUGAAAAAUACAAGGGCUGCUGGUGAGAGCAGACUUGAGGUGAUGAUAGUUGGCCUUUGGUCUACAAAGAUUUUGUAACUCCUUGGAAAGCUUCUUAUAAUCAUUCUUAACUUCUCGAUAGCUAGAAAUUUAGAGUAUUUGAAAUCUGUAGGAAUGAAAUCUGUAGGAAUGAAAGCCAAAAAUGUGACUGACUUGGGAACAAUUCUUAAACUGAUUAACUGGCUGUAAUACGGUUUUGUGAAUUUAUUGCACCGAUGUUGUACCUUGUGGUAUAUCUGUGCCUAUUAAAUAAGUGUUGUUUUUUUGUCUUUAAUAUUGUUGUAAACAGUGGUGCCUAUUAUAGCAUAUAUUUGAUUUUUUAAAAAAAUAUUUCAUAAGAAAACUACCUUAAUUUUACCUUACUUUCAUUGUAAAUAAGCCUGUCUUCCUAUCUGGAUUUUUUUAUGUAUACAUGUUCUACUACAUGUAUACACAUUUUUUUGUGUAUACAUGUUCUACAGAAUAACUUUUUCAGUUUUAAUCCUUUAUUAUUUCUUCUACUUUGUUUUGUGUAAAAGGGGAAAAAAUUCAAAAAGUUGGAAUCUUAAAAAAUAAAAAUAAAAAUAAAAAAUUAACAUUUGACUGUACAUACCAGAGCGCACAACAGGUGCUAGAAUAUAAAAGAAGAUGAAUCUCUGCCUUCAAGAGGUACAGGGUUUAAUGAACUCUGGGUGACCAUUUAGUUAUUUGUCAAGCCUCUGUGAAGGGUAUUCUGACAUUGAGUGGCAGUUGCAGUAGUUGACCUUCGGACUUUAUAUUGGAGAAUCCCGUGUGUGUGUGUGUGUGUGUGUGUGUGUGUGUGUGUGUGUGUGUUUCUUUUUUCUGUCUCAGGUUAUCUGGCAGGCUGGAUCAGGCACACAACAAAUGAAAGCUUUUAUUAUUACCUUAGAGAGGCAGCUUAGUAACAUGGAGAGAGGUCAGAUGUUGGUGCUAGAGAUCUGAGUUCAAAUCCUAGCUUUAUCAUUUAGGAGUUGUGACGUUGGAUCAGUUAUUUCACUUCUUUGAGCCUCUACCUUUAUAAAGGGAAGACUAUCUAAUGAGGAUAUUGUGAAGAAAAGUCAUGAUACACAUGAAGCACCUAGCACAGUUCUGGCACAAAGCAGGGCCCAGCUAAGGCCAGCCAGGGGUGGCAGCAGCAAUCCUGAGCCAUAACGCCACCAGGAGAAGUGACCUGAGCGGCAACAGCAGAUGUGACAGCAACUUUCUUCUUCUCCUUGUUUGCUCAGAUGCUGCCUUUAUAAUGGUAAUGGAGUAUUUUCAAAUUCAAAGUCUAUUCCAGAGAUAAAGAAAAAUGAUAGUGGGUUUCCCUGUAAUUAAUGGCAUUUUUUAGCAUUUCAGUCAGAUUAUAAAUAGGAUAUAAGAUGCCUUAUGUGGUGAAUAACACAUCUUUCUAGUUUUCUAGAUUUAUGAAUUUAGCCCAUAUGAAAUUAAUUAUUGUGGGUGUAUUACAUGGAUGUGAAACAUCUGGAAUAAUAGGAUUUUAUUGUUAAUAGACCUCUCAGGAGCUCGUGACAAACAUCCUUAUAAUAGCAACAUAUGCUGCUAGUUUAAUGAGAACCAUCCUUGACAAUUAAUGGUUCUUGUGCUUUCAGUAAUUUACACAUUUUCAAAUUUUAUAUUCUUUAUUUCCAUCUUUAUGGUUUCAGUUUGUGGCUUGUUUGAAAUUAAGGCCAGAACUCCUUACAGAGGAGAAAAAAAAAUUAUUUAGUGUAUACUAUGUGCCAAGCACUGUGCUAUAUAUUUUAUAUAUGCGAAUGUACAUGAACAUGAAAUUACUUUAAAGCCUGACAACAACCAGGCAUCUCUUUAUUUACAAAUAGGAAGCCUGAGGCACAGUGAGAUUAGUAGCUCAUCAAUGUGGAUGCUCCAGCUAGAAUUAAAAGUUGAAUUUCUCUGUCCUUUCAAUCAUUAGAAAAGAAAGUAGAAUAUUGUAGAAAAGAUUCCCUUUUCUAGAAAUCGUAUUUCUGCUUUCAAUAGUCCUUUUAACUUUCUACAUAACAACCUUCAAGUUAUUCCUGGGACAUAUUGGGCUUAAGCUGAUGUGGGCAAGGAGUUAAUAAAGAUAACUGAAUUUAAACUUCUGACGUAUUUCAAAACCUAGUCUGUGCGUGGUACAAGGUCAGUCAAGAGCUAUGGAAAUAUCCAAGAGGAGAAUAUUCUGUUUUUUCUUGUUCUCUUGAUGCUGAGAAAAGGGAAUUUUUACUGAACACUAUGCACAAUUCAUAGUUCAGCCAUUAGUUAACCUGCUUCUCUGAAGAGUAAGGCUUGGCCCAGACCCCAAAGCUCACCCUCCUGCUCUUCCCCCACAAGUUUGGUUCAGAUUCUGUCAAAUUAAACAUUAUUGAUAUAUUUCAGGAAAAUGACAGAAAGUGUACGUGAUUUGGCCACCAAACCAGAAAACGUGAUUAAGGGAAGGGGAAUAAAUGGUAGGUACACUGUUGCAUGGAGAAGGCAGAAUUAGUUCCCUGCAGGCUUCAUUAAUCUGCAUUUAGUCAUUGUUGCCUUUGUAUAAAGAUAAAGGCAAAAUUCUUAUUUCAGUAUUCUAUCUUAUGUCUUCACAACACUCAAUAUUAUUUGAAACAGUCCUGUUCAACUAUUAUAAAAUCUUGAGUAUUAAUUCUUCCCCUCAUAAGAAUGUAAGCUCCAUGAGAGCACGUACCUUUCCUGUCUUUAUUGAAUGAAUGAAUAAAUACCUUUAUAUUCAAACAGGAUAAAUUCUACCUUAUAUCAUAUAUUCAUUCACUGAAUCAUUUAAAGAAUGUGUGUUGUGUGCUGAAGUAGGUAUAUUCACAUAAUAUAUGCACACAAGUAUGCACAAACAAUAGGCAAAUUUGCAUAACAAGUUAGGUAGUAAGCUUCAAAUAGUAGUCGGACCUCUGCCUUGUUCCAUGAACUCGGAAAGCUCCACAGCUUUCUGUGCCUCUUUCGUCACAUCUAUAAAAUGCUAAAGUAUGCUGGCUUUAGCCUGCCCCAGCAAUAGCAUGUACUCUGUUGCUUCUGCCCUGACUUAGGCCUGGACCACUGAGAAUCUGGCCUGGUAGAAAAUAGGUGAUUUUCUCCUACUAAAACACAGCAUCUAGACACAGCCUGCAGAUCGCAAACCAGAUGCUCCCUUUGCAUGUUUAUAAGCAAAAUUGGGCACUUUCAGGAGCCCCAGGACGUGACAGGGAUCCGUCCACUAUCAGAUGUGAUUGUGGGGCUAGAUUGGCUGCUGUCUGGGCCCUUGGUUCUCCCUCCAGUCUCCACAGAAAGAGGACCCUGGUCCUCAGACUCUGGUCUGCUGUGGACUUGGCACAUAGUAAGUCUGUUAACCCCUUUCCUGGAGUCUAGGCCCUGUGCUUGGCUUUCCAGAUAUUACUUUAGUAUCUCCAAGUUCUAUAGGUUGGCCAAACUCCAGAUGCCCUAACUCCUUACAUCUGAUGCCUUAAAUGCUGACAUUUCAAGCCAAGCUUAAGUUUUUCUACAACUCUUCUGAAUCUCCCAAGUCGAAUAGCUGACAGAUUCAAAAGAGAUAUGAAAAAACUUAAGCUUGAUCCUCCCUUAUCACAACUAGUCUGGUGAAUUUCCCUCAGUUACCAUACUGUACUCACUACUGUUUCAGUACUAUGUAAAGGGGAAAGAUGGUUAUAAACUGUGUAGCAUCUUGUUUGUGUUUAUGUGUAUUUAAAACAGAUCUAACGGGAGUCAUUGAAUACCCUUGCAAAAUAAAGUCCCUUUGAGAUGCAAGAUAAGUUGCAAACAGUCUCCACUAAUCAUUAAAUACAAGGUGCAUUCACUCCUCAGGUGGGUAGUUUAUGCUUCUAGGGUAAGCUAAAUGCAACAAACUAUAGACACAUCCUUUCACUAAUGAUAGAAAUUGCCUCAUGCUGAACUUUGGCUCAAGAUAUUCCUACACAUGAAGAUUGAAGCCACAUUAUAAAGCUGCUCUGGAUUCUAUAUUAUGAAGCCCAGAGUGACCUUAAGGGUUGAAGUAGUGGCCAGGCAUGGUGGCUCACGCAUGUAA
Molecule: non-coding RNA, 6189 nt
Organism: Chlorocebus sabaeus (green monkey)
Lineage: Eukaryota; Metazoa; Chordata; Mammalia; Primates; Cercopithecidae
Source: RefSeq, a predicted model, not a curated record